CAAUUUUGGUAAAGGAUCCUAAUAUUAGGUACUGAGAAGAAGGUAUAUUCUUUUGUGUUUGGUGAAAUGUUUUAUAUAUGUCUCUUGGGUCCAUUUGAUUCAUAAUGUAUGUUAGUUUCAUUAUUUUGCUGUGUAGUUUUUGUCUGAGUAUCCUGACAAUUGGUGAGAAUGGGGUGUUGAAGUCUCCCACUAAUAACGUAUGGGGUUUGAUGUGUAAUUUAAGCCUGAGCAAUAUUUCUUUUACAACUGUUGUGUCUCCUUGUCUUAGGGCAUGGAUAUUCAGAACUGAGAUAUCAUCUUGAUGAGCAUGAAGUGUCCUUCCCUUUCUCUUUUAAUUUUGGUUGAAAGUUUGUCUUACUAGAUGUUAGAACGGCUACUCUAGCUUGACACUUGGAUCCAUUUGCUUGGAAAAGUUUUUUUUUUUUUUUUCUAGGCCUUUACUCUGAGGUAAUGGCUGAGGGGUAUUUCCUGUAUAUAGUACAAUGAUGAAUCCUGUUUGCCCAUCCAUUCUGUUAUCCUAUGUCAUUUUAUUGGGGGAGUUGAGUCCAAUUGUUUGGGACCCACAUGAAGACCAAGAUAAACAUCUGCUGCAUAUGUGAUGGAAGGCAUAGUUCUGGCCUAUGUCUGCACUUUGGUUCAUGUUUCAGACUCUGAGAGGCCCAAGUAUCCAGGUUAGUUGACUCUGUUGGACUUCUAUGGAGUUCCUAUCCUCUUUGGGCCUGAAAUCCUUCCUCUUAGUCUUCCAAAACUCCCAAGCUCCAUCCAAUUUGGCUGUGGCCAUUUGUAUCUGUCUGAGUUAGCUGCUAGGUGGACCUGCUAGAAGAACAACUUGGACCUAUCUACAAACAUAAAAAAGUAUCAUUAAUAUUGUCAAAGAUUGUUUCUUGCCCAUGGGAUGGGUCUCAAGUUGAGCUGAAUAGUGGUUCACCAUACAACCAUUCUCUGCUCCUUCCACCUUGCUUACAUUUCUUAUAGUCAGGAUAAAUUUUUGGUUGAAAGAUUUUUGGAUAUGUUGGUAUCUCUAUAGCUACACUGGGAUUCCUGCCUGGAUACAGGUGGUGUCCUCUUCAUGAUAAUCACAGGGAAUCAUCAGUGUUUGUUUUGGCCAUGCUUGGUUUCAACAAUCUGUUCUGAUUGCUCAGCAGCUCCUUUGACGUCCCUUCACUGGGGUUGUGGUUCCCUUCACUGUUCUGGUGACUGAUGACUGCCCUGAGGUCAACACACACAACUGCAGAUGAGAGUUUUCACAUCACUGACACCCAAGCUAUUGUCCUCUCUACUCCUGGUUCGACCGUGUACCUUCCAGAUUCUUCAGAUAAAGGAGAUUUCAGGUUGUCUCACCAGGUGAUCUGCAGCUAAGGAGUAGUUUCCUCUCACUUGCAAGGUAUUGUCUAAAUCCUGGUGGGUUCCUAAAAUGCAGCAACUGGAAGUUCCUCUAGGAAUGCUCAUCAGGCUACUAUAAUUUGCGUUUUAUUAUGUUCUUUCACAAAUAUGCCUGAAUGUUCCAAUUUUAGAGACUCCUUCAAUUGGCCAUCAACCCUCUGAUGUGUUGUCUCUGCCCCAUUGAAUUUCAUCUUUCCCAGUCUGCACAUGAGCUCUUCCAAAUAACUUGAGCUGUGUGUCUACCUUGAUCUAUUUUGUUCAUCCUCAUCAUAUGCUUGCUGUACCAUAAACAAGUAUGUAUAUCAAUGGUUACAAAAUGAACAAUGUUGUGUGGUGGACACCAAGUCAGAUGUCUUCCAUUGAGCAAGUUUGAAAACUUACCAUGACACUGGAAAUCUGUGAUUUGUUGUUGGGAGCGAUGUCCUUGAAACCCUCCAUUAUUGAUGUUAAUAUUAUGGUUAGAGUUAAGUAUGACUGGGUUCAUGGAAAAUCCCCAGCCAGCUGCAGAAGACUAAUACAAAUCUGGUGGUCAGGAUGAAUAAUGAUAUGAUAAAGUUGUGACCCUGUUGAGAAAUACAUCUGACAUCAAGAUGACCUGUAACCUUUCUGAGAAACCAAUAUCCUGCUGACUAAUGAUAUGACAAACCUGUAACCUUUCUGAAAAACAACAUUCUGUUGACAUCAGCUAACCACACGAGUACUGUGUCCUUGGCCUGCAUAAAGGUUUCCCACUUACCCCCUCUCUCUGAUACCUGUUAUGGUAUAAAACCAGCCUUGGGAAAAAAUAUAAUUGUUGCCUUGAUCAGACUCGUGUCUUGGUGUCCUUCACGUCUCUUGUCCCCCAUUCUCUUCCAGGUACCCUCUACACCCUCGUUGACAAUUUGUGAUAAUGAUCUCAAGGUAAUCAAGUAGUGGGGCAUAGAUCCACUGUACAUGUAAAGUUGUAAUGACUGGAAACUGUCCAGCUGGUUGCAAUUUCCAGGUUGUGAAGGGUCAUGCCAGAUACUGAAGUUUCAACUGCCUGGGAUGAGCUUCAAUAUCCUGGAUGCAGAAAUUGAAAGAUGUUUUGGUGUUUGUGAUCAUUUAAAGGAAGGGGUCUCAGUAUACUCAAGAUACUACUAUGAGAUCAUGUUUUCACAAACUCUUAAAACUAAGGACAACAUAAUGUCCUAACUUAGUGAUUUCUCACGAGUUAAAUGACUUCUGUAUUUCUUAAAAUCAGUGUCAAAUUAUGUAAUGAUAUGGAUUUGUUCACUGUAACAUAACACUUUGCCUAAGGUGCAAAUGUUCUAAAUCUUUCUGAAUUUAGUAUCAUUGUUCAAAUAUAAUGCUUUGGCUUGGAGUAAAGACUUUCUCAUUCUUAAGCACUUCAAAAUGAUUUUCCAGAACACUUUUGCAAUUUCUAAGCUGUACAUAAGCACCCUAGGUUAGUUAGCUCAUUAAGGCUUUAGCCUCAUUAUUUGUAAAAAAUGGACUCACACAUGAAAUUAAGAUGAAGAUAAUACCUCAGUAAAGCCAAUUACUGCGAUUUCUUUUAGGAUGAAUGUUCUGGGGUGUGUAUGACAUUACUGGCCUGUAAAUUAUUUUAACAAACAUAACUCCAAUGUAAUUCAUUCCUUGGGGUAUAUAGAGUGAAGUGUUAAGGUACAACAGGAGGAUCUGUAGUAUUUGCCCAUAUGCACCACUGUUUUGACAGUUAUUAUAGUUUGGUUGAAUCAAGGAGUAUUAGUAUGAGUUAAGAGCCAUGCAGGGACUCAGUCCAAUGGAUGAUGUCUCUCACCGACAACUUCGAAACCAUAUUUUCACUUAGUCUUUGGUGAAUAUUUCUCUCACUCAUUCUUGAAUUCAAGAAGAGAACAGUCUGAUCUCUCAGGCUUGCAAAGACUCUACAUUCUUCUGUGUGGAGCCAUUUUAGCUUAACCUAGUACUAUUAUGGAAAGGAUUAAACACGUUAAACACAAUCUUCCCUCUUUUAGUUAAUAUAAAUGCAAUCUCUCUAAUACAAUGAUUCAAAUGUUCUAAUGCAACAGCAGUGUCAUAAAAUUCAAAGUAUUCGAAUGCAGGCAGACUCACCUAGAUACAAAGGAAUUGUGUCUCAGUCCUAAGGCCAUUGGAAAUAGAUAUUUUCCUAUGGUAUUAAGCAACCCAUGUGAGAGGCACAUUUUCCAGGGAGAUGAUGGAUUAUAUAUGUGUAGACACACACACACACACACACACACACACACACACACACACACACACACAUACACACACAUACACACACACACACAGUGUGUAUAUUCAUCUAAGCAGUCCAAGUAGAAACUGAAAAACAAGUGUAAUUUGUUGAAACAAUGAGCUUUAUUGGAAUUACAGGACUAUGGAAAAGGAAUUGUGACCAGAGCCAAAGGGACCAAAAGAAAGUAGAAAUUCUGAAAUGUGAAAACAUCCUAUGGUACAGACUGUGAAUCCUGGACAUUCAUAGGAAACUGCAUAUCUGUAAACAUAUUUACAGAAAAAAAGACAUCGUAUCUUGGUGUCUCAAUUUGUCAAAUCCAUUUUCAAGAAAAAUACCUGAGUUUUUCAUUUAAGAUAAACAUAUAGAAUGCUAUCGGUUUCAUUAUCUAUUUUGAGAGGUGCAUUACCCGCUUUAAUCAGUUUCCCUAUUCAGUGGAUUAGUUCAGCCUUCUGGAAACUGUUAAAACAAUUUGACAUUAUUCUGGGUUCCCUAUUUGAUUUCAUAAUGAAUUAUUUAAGGAUAAACAAUUAAAAAGUUGC
Rattus norvegicus (Norway rat) is the source of this 4140-nucleotide non-coding RNA. NCBI's taxonomy places the organism in Eukaryota, Metazoa, Chordata, Mammalia, Rodentia, Muridae. The record is from RefSeq and is a predicted model, not a curated record.